ACCCCGGUAGCCCAAUGGAUAAGGCGACAGCCUCCGGAGCUGUAAAUAGGGGUUCGAUUCCCUUCCGGGGUGCCA
This 75-nucleotide transfer RNA is filed under the name Planctomycetota bacterium. RNAcentral's name for it is "tRNA-Arg". It matches the Rfam family "tRNA". From Rfam's summary of the family: Transfer RNA (tRNA) molecules are approximately 80 nucleotides in length. Their secondary structure includes four short double-helical elements and three loops (D, anti-codon, and T loops). The record is from RNAcentral. Lineage: Bacteria; Pseudomonadati; Planctomycetota.